UUAUUUGUGAUCAAGUCAACAAUUGUAUUGUGUUACUAUCAUCUUUUCUCAAUUUCAGUUGCCAAAAUAUCCAAAUAGUGUUGCAUCCUUGUCGCACAAGAAGCAAAAGAAGUGGAGGAGCCUCCUCAAGUAUUCAUACAUAAAGUGAACAACAUUGAUAUCAGAUCAACUUCUGCCUGUAGGAGUGUUAGAAGUUUAUGCUGUGCUUGCCAAAGAAGGGGAGCUCGCUGCCUGGUUUUCAUCAUCUUUUGCUAAAAAAUAUUGGAAACCCUGUUUUCCUGGAACAUAAAAUGAUAUUACCAAUACUGUGUAACACACUUCAUCCAAUACAAACGGAUCAGUUGGUAUUGAAAAAUGUUUCAUCUAUACAUAUGAUAUAGUAUCAGUGUUGUUUAUAUUGCUGAAGUAGAUAGUGUGGCUGCUAUUGAUAAAUUAGUUUGAGGGUGGUUUAAGUAAUGUUAAAUUGUGUUGGAGAAGUAGCACUAAAUUCUAGGUUCCAAGUGUUGGUUAAAUGUAACUUUCCCUAUUCACUUAUGUAAAUUAUUUAUCUAGUGCAGUGAAAUUGCAUGUUGGACACA
Molecule: long non-coding RNA, 578 nt
Organism: Lotus japonicus
Lineage: Eukaryota; Viridiplantae; Streptophyta; Magnoliopsida; Fabales; Fabaceae
Exons: 3
Source: RefSeq, a predicted model, not a curated record